Molecule: long non-coding RNA, 277 nt
Filed under: Phoenix dactylifera (date palm)
Lineage: Eukaryota; Viridiplantae; Streptophyta; Magnoliopsida; Arecales; Arecaceae
Description: long non-coding RNA (PDAC_LNC007535)
Source: RNAcentral
CGCGUCAAUGAAGACAUCCCAUUAGACUCUUACCCAUUGACUGUGACAUAAGGGAGCAUUGUUUACAUCACAUCAUAAGAGCUAUGGGAUCGCCGGAGGCAGUUGCCAUCCAGAUAAACCUAAUGGAUAGACUAACUUUAAAUAGGUUAUCACGUGACAUCUGAUAGGCUGAAUGGGGUUUGGCCAUGGUAUGCCAAAUGGUUGCAAGGAGCAUAAGGGUGCAAGCCAAGCAGUGCUAGGACAUUAGGUCUAGAGUCAAUGCAUCUAGUGAUGUGAU